RNAcentral lists this unclassified non-coding RNA (200 nucleotides) under Microcyclospora sp. Its description in RNAcentral is "partial internal transcribed spacer 2". Lineage: Eukaryota; Fungi; Ascomycota; Dothideomycetes; Capnodiales. The record is from RNAcentral.
UUAAGUUCAGCGGGUAUCCCUACCUGAUCCGAGGUCAACCUGUAAAAAUGUGGGUUUCCCGGCGCGAGGCCCCCGACCCCGCGAGCGGUUUGAUAAAUCACAACGCUCGGAGACGGACGCAUCGGCCGACGACAUUGAGGCGCGCGGGAGACCGCGGCGCCCAAGACAAGCCAGGCUUGAGUGGUGUAAUGACGCUCGGA